UAUUAUGAAUAAAAUUUCUCCUCGAGCAGAAAAUUUUUUAUUUCACAAAAGAACUGUUUUUGACCACUGCCAAUUGGUCUACUUCAGCUUUAGUUAUCUGUUACAUAGAGGGUGGUAUGUUUUUCUCCCGGUUAAGGGAUUGACAAUUGCAUUUGGGAGAAGGUUAAAUGUGUCAGGCUUUCCGGCACACUGUUAUCAGUCAUCUAGAGAUGCUCUUGCACACAUUUUGAUGUGUUUUUAUUGCUUUUUAUGUAUUAUUUUUUCCCUAUAUUUUGUAAAGUAGAACAUUGCUUUGUAGGAAUGUUUUUUGGCAUUAGAUGCACAAAUGUAGUAUAUUUUAACUGUGUUUAGUUUUACUUAUUAAUGCCAUGUGUAGUAAUUUUCUAGGUUCCAUGCAUGUUUCCUAAUGUUUAGCAC
This 417-nucleotide long non-coding RNA is filed under the name Androctonus crassicauda. The record is from RNAcentral. Lineage: Eukaryota; Metazoa; Arthropoda; Arachnida; Scorpiones; Buthidae.